Molecule: ribosomal RNA, 623 nt
Filed under: Staphylococcus warneri
Lineage: Bacteria; Bacillati; Bacillota; Bacilli; Caryophanales; Staphylococcaceae
Description: bacterial SSU rRNA
Rfam family: Bacterial small subunit ribosomal RNA
Source: RNAcentral
CUUGCUCCUUUGACGUUAGCGGCGGACGGGUGAGUAACACGUGGAUAACCUACCUAUAAGACUGGGAUAACUUCGGGAAACCGGAGCUAAUACCGGAUAACAUAUUGAACCGCAUGGUUCAAUAGUGAAAGGCGGCUUUGCUGUCACUUAUAGAUGGAUCCGCGCCGUAUUAGCUAGUUGGUAAGGUAACGGCUUACCAAGGCAACGAUACGUAGCCGACCUGAGAGGGUGAUCGGCCACACUGGAACUGAGACACGGUCCAGACUCCUACGGGAGGCAGCAGUAGGGAAUCUUCCGCAAUGGGCGAAAGCCUGACGGAGCAACGCCGCGUGAGUGAUGAAGGUCUUCGGAUCGUAAAACUCUGUUAUCAGGGAAGAACAAAUGUGUAAGUAACUGUGCACAUCUUGACGGUACCUGAUCAGAAAGCCACGGCUAACUACGUGCCAGCAGCCGCGGUAAUACGUAGGUGGCAAGCGUUAUCCGGAAUUAUUGGGCGUAAAGCGCGCGUAGGCGGUUUUUUAAGUCUGAUGUGAAAGCCCACGGCUCAACCGUGGAGGGUCAUUGGAAACUGGAAAACUUGAGUGCAGAAGAGGAAAGUGGAAUUCCAUGGGGAAAGCGGGGAA